RNAcentral lists this ribosomal RNA (765 nucleotides) under Triticum aestivum (bread wheat). Its description in RNAcentral is "partial small subunit ribosomal RNA". Lineage: Eukaryota; Viridiplantae; Streptophyta; Magnoliopsida; Poales; Poaceae. The record is from RNAcentral.
AUGAGAGGACUCGGAUUUCCAAUUCAUCCGUUUCUUCGAGGGUUGCUGGAGUUCUACGGCCUCCAGCUACACAACCUCAGGCCCGCCUCCAUUCUGCACAUUGCGGGCUUCGUGGCCCUCUACGAGCUGUUCUUGGGCAUUGAGGCCCAUUUCGCGUUGUGGAAGAGAUUGUUUUUCCUUGUGCCUCGUUCUCAGGAGGGGUCUAUUUAUCAAGUGGGCGGAGCCGAACUAUGGCGCAUUGCCGGGACCGGAUAUCUAUCCGGCACCCCAAAGAGGGCGUCCGAAGACUGGCCCUCGGAAUGGUUUUAUAUAGAUGAUGUCCCCCUGCCGGACCCUGUACGGAUCGGCCUCCCCGAGUUCAAUAAUGCUCCAUUGAAGAAGCGCCUGAGUUGGCGCCCACGGAACCCUCAGAGGGAAGCUGACAGGGACGUCCUGUACCUGAUGAGCCGGAUAAGGUUGUUGGCUCAUUCCGGACUAACCAUGAUCAAGGUCAUGGCCAUAUGCAUCACGCGAGGGGUGCAGCCGCUUCAAUACAGAGGCCACCCCAUGUGGGAUUUCAACGGGGAGGAUGAUGCUACCCGGUGCGGUCGCAAGGGGCCAGAUUCGGCCGCCACUUUAACGAGAAUCUUAUCCGCUUUGUAUAAGGGGGAGGAGGAAGAAUUCCUCUGUGUCAACCCGGAAGGCGGAUUCUCUAUGUACAAUCCUCCUAGUUGGGUGAGCGGACACUUUCACUUGCCUAUCCAUUUUCGAAAUUCCUGUAGUUGA